Oncorhynchus nerka (sockeye salmon) is the source of this 1801-nucleotide long non-coding RNA. RefSeq lists it as uncharacterized. NCBI's taxonomy places the organism in Eukaryota, Metazoa, Chordata, Actinopteri, Salmoniformes, Salmonidae. The transcript has 3 exons. The record is from RefSeq and is a predicted model, not a curated record.
AGCAGCCUUUCCCUCAUUUUGUGCUUUCUUGAUCUUUUGUCACAACCUGUUCCUUCUUUCUAUGUCCUCCGGGCUGAGAUGCUCGGCGAAAUGCAGACCAUGGCUCGGAAGGAAGGCAUUCUUCCUAGCAGCUUUCCAGACAUCAUCCCUGUAGAAUCUGGCAGUGAAGAGGAUGAUGAUACCCCUUGGUCUUGAAUCGUUUUGCUGUUGCUUCUUGCCGAGGCGAUGCACAACGUCGAUGGUAUCACCAACUUUGUUCUUCUCUGCAGGCAUAACUUCUUGGCAGAUGCGGAUAGCCUUUCCUCGCACAUCUUUAUUCUCCACCUCUGGCAAGCCGUAGAGUCUCAGGUUCCAUCUUCUUGUGUAUUGUUCCAGAUCAGUGAGACGUCUAUGUCUUGUCCUAUCGCUGCAACACCCCUACGGACUUGGGAGAGGUUAAUAUCGAGAGCCAUGCAUCCUCCGAAACACGACCCUGCCAAGCCGCACUGCUUCUUGACACACUGCUCGCUUAACCCAGAAGCCGGCCGUACCAAUGUGUCGGAGGAAACACCUUCCAGUUGGCGACUGAAGUCAGCUUGCAGGCACCCGGCCCACCACAAGGAGUCGCUAUAGUGCAAUGGGACAAGGAAAUCCCAGGCCCGGCCAAACCCUCCCCUAACCCGGACGACGCUGGGCCAAUUGUGUGCUGCCUCAUGGGUCUUCCGGUUAUUGCCUAGUGAGCUAGCUGGUUAGACAACUUGGUUAGAUAGUGAGCUAAAGUUGGCUUGCUAGCUCACAAAGUACUUGUGGCCUCAAUGUUUUCCCAUACAAAACACAAACUCAUCAAAUGAUACAAUAUUGUGUAAAACAUUGAAUUUGUAGAUGCAUCAAAAUUGACUUUAUAUCCCCUUUUCCUCGUGGUUUAGACAUGAGGCGUGACAUGCGGAACAUCAGGCUCACCCCAAGAGAAAGCAGUGCAUGACAAAUGCCACCCUCAGCAAGGAGAUCUGUUGGAAGUGAUGGGGGAAAGACAUCAUUUAAACAUCAUGGAUAUAAAUUCCAACUGUGCCCAUGAUAAAAUGCCAUGUCCUGACAGGAGGCGCGACGAGUACGCUGAUCCGGAGCCUGCCCAAAAAACUGAUUGGAAUAAAACCUCAAAGUAAGAACAAAAACUGCGUGAAAAAAAUAUUUAUAAGAUAUUUAGAUGUUCACUGAUGCAAUGACAGCUUUGGGAGCGUGUGGUCCUUGAAAAACUCCUCUAAACCAGCAAAAUGAGUCUGCCAGAGGUCGUCAUGCUGGAUGGGGGUGGUGAUCGAGGCUUUGGUGGUCCACACAACGAAGAAGCAAGUGUCCCUUCCAUUGAUGUGGAGCUGCCCUUGGACCUAAUGCCAGUAAGGAUGGUCUUCAUGGAGGAUGUAAGACCCUACCUCCUGGAUCUAGAAAUCCUUCGACUUCACUGCCUCCUCAAUGGUAAGGUCCCUUGCACCGUAGAGACACUUGACGUCCACCACAGCUGUGGGGCCCACCAGACCAUCCGGUGAAGCACCCAGGACCCAAAGCUCUGACUCCUGCACAUCCCUCCCUGUAGUCAUUUUGAAUGCCUUGAUGCCCUCCUCUUCAUUAUCUGUGCCACACUUUACAGAAAACACCUCAUCCAAUGACUGUGAUCCCCUGGUCACCUAUAGAGACCUGCCGAGAGGAAAGAUGUUAAGUGCCACAUGCCUUUCAAUGCAUGACUUUGAACACCUUGAAAUGCAUUUGUUGUAUGAUAUGUGCUAUAUAAAUUGUUUGAUUUGUUUGAUGACAUUACAGCUGUAGAAUA